This 552-nucleotide unclassified non-coding RNA is filed under the name Bombus terrestris (buff-tailed bumblebee). RNAcentral describes it as "misc RNA ENSBTSG00005026086.1". The record is from RNAcentral. Lineage: Eukaryota; Metazoa; Arthropoda; Insecta; Hymenoptera; Apidae.
CGUUCCCAUGGAUAUCUCUGCAGCCUCCUUUACUUUUUCCUCUACAUCUUCUGAUAAUAUAUCAGAUAAAUCUGAAUUUAUAGUAUUUUCUCUUGUUCCAAUUACUUUUACUGUUUUAACAAAUGUUAUAUUAUCUAUAAUAAUCUUUCCAAGUUCUGGAAAGUGCCAGCCAUACCAUUCACGACAACGCAUAACAUAGUUAUUUAAUUCUUUGUCUAAAUCAUCUAACAAAUAAACAGCUUGUAUUAUCAUUGUAUCAACUUUAUCGGGUGAAAAUUUCAAUUUGUAUCUAGAAAGGCUAUGUGCUAAACCUAAUGCCAUUGCCGUUAUUUCUUUUUUAUGUAAACCUGACAAUAAACUAUCCAUCUGGCUUCUUAUACAUCUCAUUAAUUCUUGUAUAGCAGUAUUACUGACACAAGAUAAACUCAGUUUAUCCUUUAUAGCAUUACCUAGCUUAGCGUCGGCCACAGCUAGUUGUUCUUGAAGUUCAUUACAAUGUUUUUUAAGAAUUUUCUUCAAUGCUUUGCACAGUUUACCCUCUACUGCUGCAGU